Molecule: long non-coding RNA, 435 nt
Filed under: Apteryx owenii (little spotted kiwi)
Lineage: Eukaryota; Metazoa; Chordata; Aves; Apterygiformes; Apterygidae
Description: lncRNA (ENSAOWG00000013245.1)
Source: RNAcentral
GAGGAAUAUAAGUGGGUAGUGUCUGGUAGACAUUGGUGUUGGUCAUUGCUAAGGUUGCUUGUUAAAAUCUGAUUAUGAUUUUCUUAGCUGUCAUUUUCUUGCUUGUGUAGACUGGAGUUAAUUUGUCAUUGCCUGUACUUCCAUAUCUGUUUCAGUUACCCUUUUCUGGCACAGGAAAGCGGACGGAGGCUAGGACAGGAAGCCAUAAUGAUGACACAUUCUUGGAGGCUGAGGUGGCAGGAGAAUUGUUCCUGGAGCAAACGGACAAUUUAAAAGCAGUUCCAUCUUCUGUUCUUGCUAGUCCUGCUUUGUGCUAUUUUGAUGAUCCACAUUUAUUUGAAAGGCACAGUUGGGCUAUAGAUUUGACAUCUAAGUGGAUGGUAAGUGCUGCUGUUUGUUUUAUUUGACCAGCUUGUGUGAUUUGUAGAGUCCCAA